AUGGAGAUGGAGGGGUUUGUUAAGACAGUUUUCUGCAACCAAUUCAACGGCACACCCACUCUAGGCAAAUCAGCUGCUACUACCGUGAUGUACAGCUACGGUGCGAGGAAAGAAUCCUACCUGGCCAAGAUCAGGCACUCCCGGAGGUCGUCGUCCAGCAGCCUAGGGAAGCUAUAUGUGGCCGUCGGGAAGGAUGAAGAGGACGGUCAGUCCAACCUCCUGUGGGCAGCUCGGAACCUCCUCGCCGGCGGCGACAAGCUGGUCCUGCUACACGUUCACCAGCCCGCCGACAGAAUCAUGAUCGCUCCAGAGAAAGAACUCAGGGCAUACAGGUUGUCUGAGAAGGAGGAGAUGAACACACUUUUAGACCAGUACCUCGAUUUCUGCAUUUCUUCUCUCCAGAUGCAAGCUGAAGCGACGGUGAUCGAGAGUAACAGCCCUACGAAUGGCAUCGUCAAGCUCAUCGAUCAGAGUCACAUCACAAACUUUGUCAUGGGAACAUCUUCCUUCUCACCGUAUGUCCAGACCAAAUACAGCUUCAUAACGAGGAAGAGGAAAGUGCCGAAAUCAAAAGUCGCAGCCAUCGUGCAUCUACAGGCCAAACCAUAUUGCCGGAUCUUCUAUGUUUGCAACGAGACUCUUGCUUGCUCCAGGCUAAUAAUAAGAUAUGAACAUCAGAGAUAAACUGGUGUGCAACAUGAUGUGAUUGAGCAACUGCGCCGAGUCCGCAAUGAGCUGGAGGGCUCAAAAAAAGAAGCAUCCGAGGGCCAGCAGAAAGGCGAGAGGAAUAUGUUUGAAGCUUCUAUGAUGUUCAUGGCACGGGAGAAUGCACUCCGCAAAGAAAAAACGGAGGUAGAGGAGAGACUGGGCAGAGAAAAGACUGGACUCCGGAAGGAGCACCUCCAAAUAUGCAACGAGCUGCACAAGGCAAAUGAGAAAAGAGCGGAGCUGGAGGAGAUGCUUCUCCAGAAAAAUUACCUAGUGGCAGAGCUCGAGCAGUCGCAAGGAGAGCUGCAACGCGAGAAAGACCAUGUCACAAAGCAAGUUGAGCAGAUGUGCCAAGCAAACAGUAGCAGCGUCUUUGUAUUUGGCUCUGCCUCUACCACUACUACUAGUGCCAUUCCAUUAACAAAGUUCAGCCACAUGGAGAUAAAAGAAGCGACAGCCAACUUUGAUGACUCCGAAAAGAUCGGGCAAGGUGGGUGUGGAACCGUCUACAAGGGAUUUCUCCGUCAUACUACCGUAGCCGUAAAGAGAUUGAACCGUGAAGGCACAACAGGAGAUAAAGAGUUCAAUGACGAGGUAGAAACACUUUGUAAGAUGAGGCAUCCGAACCUUGUCACCCUGAUAGGAGUGUGCAGGGAGGCCAACGUGCUGGUCUUCGAGUUCUUGUCAAAUGGAAGCCUAGAGGACUGCUUGCAGCACGACCACCAAAGAGAGGCGCUCUCAUGGCGAAUGCGCGUGAGAAUUGCUGCCGAGAUCUGCACGGGACUUAUCUUUCUCCACUCCAACAGACCAAAAGGCAUUGCACAUGGUGAUCUCAAGCCCGACAAUGUCCUUCUCGACGCCAGCUUUGGCUGCAAACUGGCAGACUUUGGGAUCUCCCGUCCCUUGAAUGUGACAAACACAACAAUCACCCCUUACCACCGAACAAAUCAACUCAAAGGCACAAUGGGAUACAUGGACCCGGCAUACAUUGCCUCAGGGGAGCUCAAAGCACAGUAUGACGUCUACCCCUUUGGGGUGGUGCUUAUGCGGCUGAUAACUAAUAAGAGCCCCCUAGGCCUUCCUCAUGCCGUGGAGGCAGCCCUAAGAACUAACAAGUUGUCGGAUAUAGUUGAUACUUCUGCAGGGGAAUGA
RNAcentral lists this ribosomal RNA (1860 nucleotides) under Triticum aestivum (bread wheat). RNAcentral describes it as "partial small subunit ribosomal RNA". The record is from RNAcentral. Lineage: Eukaryota; Viridiplantae; Streptophyta; Magnoliopsida; Poales; Poaceae.